RNAcentral lists this unclassified non-coding RNA (340 nucleotides) under soil metagenome. Its description in RNAcentral is "partial contains 5.8S ribosomal RNA, internal transcribed spacer 2, and large subunit ribosomal RNA". The stretch from base 1 to 121 matches the Rfam family "5.8S ribosomal RNA", at positions 35 to 154 of the family's 154-position model. The record is from RNAcentral.
GAUGAAGAACGUAGUGAAAUGCGAUAAGUAAUGCGAAUUGCAGAAUUUCCGUGAGUCAUCGAAUCUUUGAACGCACAUUGCGCCCUCUGGUAUUCCGGAGGGCACACCUGUUCGAGCGUCAUUACACAAAUCAAGCCCUGCUUGGUAUUGGGUGAAGCCCUCUAGGGCUCGCCUUAAACUCCUCGGCGUCGCCGUCCGUCUUCGAGCGCAGCGAGAUAACUUUCCAGCGUUUUCGAGAUGGGCCACGUCCGCCGCAGAACAUACCUUUUUUUCUUAUCAAGGUUGACCUCGGAUCAGGUGGGGAUACCCGCUGAACUUAAGCAUAUCAAUAAGCGGAGGA